AAAAAUAAGAUAAAAACUGGGAAAUAAGCAUGGCUCAGACAUCCAAGGAAGGAAUUAGCAGCAUUAGCUCUCAAGCCUGGCAAGGCGAAAGCUCUUAGGCGGCGUCUGCGAAUGUUUUGA
This 120-nucleotide ribosomal RNA is filed under the name Triticum aestivum (bread wheat). RNAcentral describes it as "partial small subunit ribosomal RNA". The record is from RNAcentral. Lineage: Eukaryota; Viridiplantae; Streptophyta; Magnoliopsida; Poales; Poaceae.